RNAcentral lists this ribosomal RNA (377 nucleotides) under uncultured Pseudomonadota bacterium. Its description in RNAcentral is "bacterial SSU rRNA". It matches the Rfam family "Bacterial small subunit ribosomal RNA", at positions 958 to 1393 of the family's 1533-position model. Lineage: Bacteria; Pseudomonadati; Pseudomonadota. The record is from RNAcentral.
AACGCGAAGAACCUUACCUACCCUUGACAUGUGGAAUGCCGAAGAGAUUUGGCAGUGCGCAAGAGAACCGGAACACAGGGGCUGCAUGGCUGGAGCGUGGUGAGAUGUUGGGUUAAGCCGCAACGAGCGCAACCCUUGAUUAGUUGCUACGAAAGGGCACUAAUGAGACUGCCGGUGACAAACCGGAGGAAGGUGGGGAUGACGAAGCAUGGCCCUUAUGGGUAGGGCUACACGAUACAAUGGGGGACAGAGGGGCCAACCCGCGAGGGGGAGCCAACCAGAAACCCUAAGCGGAUUGGAGUGCAACGACCAUGAAGGGAAGCUAGUAAUGCGCAGAAGCAUUGCUGCGGUGAAUACGUCCCGGGUGUACACACCGA